CAGCAGCCGCGGUAAUACCGGCGGCCCGAGUGGCGGUCACUAUUAUUGGGGUUAAAGCGUCCGUAGCCGGGUUGGGGAGUCCUCCGGGAAAUCUGGCCGCUUAACGGUCCGAAUGCCGGAGGAUACUCCCAGCCUAGGGAGCGGGAGAGGCCGAGGGUAUUCCCGGGGUAGGGGGGAAAUUCUAUAAUCCCGGGAGGACCACCUGUGGCGAAGGCGCUCGGCUGGAACGCGUCCGACGGUGAGGGACGAAGGCCAGGGGAGCAAACCGGAUUAGAUACCCGGGUAGUCCUGGCUGUAAACGAUGCGGACUUUGUGUCGGACAAGCUAUGAGCUUGUCCGGUGCCGGAGGGAAACCGUUAAGUCCGCCGCCUGGGGAGUACGGCCGCAAGGCUGAAACUUAAAGGAAUUGGCGGG
RNAcentral lists this ribosomal RNA (414 nucleotides) under uncultured microorganism. Its description in RNAcentral is "bacterial SSU rRNA". It matches the Rfam family "Archaeal small subunit ribosomal RNA", at positions 459 to 872 of the family's 1478-position model. The record is from RNAcentral.